Molecule: non-coding RNA, 478 nt
Organism: Pelobates cultripes (western spadefoot toad)
Lineage: Eukaryota; Metazoa; Chordata; Amphibia; Anura; Pelobatidae
Source: the annotation of a GenBank genome assembly
CCCUAAAACACUCUGAAACUGUUCCUCAAAUCGAGACUAUGCUGAGGUCUAGUAAAUCUUUAAGCGGGUAUCAGAGGAGCUAUCUAUUCGGAGGUACCCCCAACCUUCAAAUAGAGCACUAGAUGGAUGGGAGGUCGGGAAGGGGAGGAGGCAUCAGAGGAUACCUGGGGCUUGAGAACCCUCCACGCCACAGAGUUCUGGGACUAAAUCAAUGCACACCUGGAACUCUUCAUCAGAUAGGAGAAUAGCCAUGGCCCGGUACAGCUUUAAGACACUGUAACUCUGGCAAAUAUUCUCCGAUCCGGGCACUAUUUGGGAAGCAAAGGAUAUAUAUUGUGAGGGAUUAUGGUCCAGGGAAAGGUUUUCAGUCAGACAUUUUGUGUGUUAUGCCUUUAGGACUGUUAGGGCACAGCAGGGAGUUGAUUUUGUUAUCUGGGGAUAAUGUAACCAAGUGCCCAAAAAAAGUAGUGCUUUGGAG